UUAAGAGUCGAGUGGGACUGAAACUCAUGUCUGUCCCCGACUUUUUUGGAUUUAUUUUUGUCUGUCUGACUUAUUUUUAAUUUUUAAAAUUCUUUUUUUUCUCUGUUUUUUAAUUUUCUGUCCGUCUUCUUCUGUUUUUUUUAACCCCCUUUUUUUUUCUUCUUUUCUCUUCCUCUCUUCCCCUAACGUCGGUCUCCACCGUAUCACGGUUCUAUAUUAU
RNAcentral lists this long non-coding RNA (220 nucleotides) under Aquilegia coerulea. RNAcentral's name for it is "long non-coding RNA (ACOE_LNC000553)". The record is from RNAcentral. Lineage: Eukaryota; Viridiplantae; Streptophyta; Magnoliopsida; Ranunculales; Ranunculaceae.